CCCGCGCGGAGUUGCUGAUGCCCGAAAGGUCGAGCUAUAUGCGCGUGCUCCGGUUCUGCUUUUGGGUGGAGGCGCCGAAAGAAGUCUGGACGAUGAGGCGGAGGAAGCUGGAGGAAUGGCGUCGGUUGUUGAUCGCCGCGAGUUCGCAUCGCUCUCAAACGGAGGUUUAAAUCCAACGAAGAAGAUUGUUGCGAAAUGAGCAUGAGAUAUAGAGAAAGGAGAAUGAGAUUAGGGUGCUAGUUUGCACGCGUAACCAUUUAAAAUGAUUUGUUGGUUUUAUUGAUCAGAGUCAUAGAAGGCGGGUAAAAACAAGUUAAGCAAAGGUGAAGUGGGUGCUAAUAUGAAUAUUUGGUGAAUCUUUUAAGGUGACAUAAAAAAAAAGAUAUUAUGGAAAGUGCAUCGUAGGGGAUAUGAGGUUGAAAAUAGAUUAAGAUGUUUUGUAUUGAUAGAAGAAGAUGCAGAAGGCAAUGCAAGGUGUGAAGAGUUAUGUGAAAUGGUAUGGAAGGAAAAAGGUUGACGAUAAAGCUGAAAAAUAACAGGGUGUUAUUCUUGGGGUGCUGAAAAGCAAUUCAUAGUAUCUCUAAAGAAUUAGGAGUUUGAUCCUAGAUGGCUUAGCAGUAUCUUCCUUAUUGCAAGAAUUGGAAAAAAAGUGCAAAAGAUUUUACAUAUGCUAAUUUACAGUACCUUGCAACUUCCUCUUUGAUAAUCUUCAUAGGCUGCCUAUCAAGCAAUGCAAAUAACUCUCCUCCCGGACAAAAGUCUG
Dendrobium catenatum is the source of this 763-nucleotide long non-coding RNA. RefSeq lists it as uncharacterized. The record is from RefSeq and is a predicted model, not a curated record. NCBI's taxonomy places the organism in Eukaryota, Viridiplantae, Streptophyta, Magnoliopsida, Asparagales, Orchidaceae. The transcript has 3 exons.